This 460-nucleotide ribosomal RNA is filed under the name uncultured bacterium. Its description in RNAcentral is "partial 16S ribosomal RNA". It matches the Rfam family "Bacterial small subunit ribosomal RNA", at positions 338 to 795 of the family's 1533-position model. The record is from RNAcentral.
UCUACGGGUGGCAGCAGUGAGGAAUAUUGGUCAAUGGCCGGAAGGCUGAACCAGCCAUGCCGCGUGAAGGUCAGUGCCCUAUGGGCGUUAAACUUCUUUUGUGCGGGAGCAAUAAUGGUCACGUGUGGCCAGACGAGAGUACCGUACGAAUAAGCAUCGGCUAACUCCGUGCCAGCAGCCGCGGUAAUACGGGGGAUGCAAGCGUUAUCCGGAUUUAUUGGGGUUAAAGGGUGCGUAGGCUGUGAGGUAAGUCAGCGGUGAAAUGCCCCCGCUCAACGGGGUGAAGUGCCAUUGAUACUGCCUGGCUGGAAUGCGGAUGCGGUGGGAGGAAUGUGUGGGGUAGCGGUGAAAUGCAUAGAUAUCACACAGAACACCGAUUGCGAAGGCAUCUCACGAAUCCGCGAUUGACGCUGAUGCACGAAAGCGUGGGUAUCAAACAGGAUUAGAUACCCCGGUAGUC